GCCAGACUCCUACGGGAGGCAGCAGUGGGGGAUAUUGCACAGUGGGCGAAAGCCUGAUGCAGCGACGCCGCGUGAGGGAAGACGGUCUUCGGAUUGUAAACCUCUGUCUUUGGGGAAGAAAAUGACGGUACCCAAAGAGGAAGCUCCGGCUAACUACGUGCCAGCAGCCGCGGUAAUACGUAGGGAGCAAGCGUUGUCCGGAAUUACUGGGUGUAAAGGGAGCGCAGGCGGCACGGCAAGCCUGAUGUGAAAGCCCGCGGCCCAACCGCGGGACUGCAUUGGGAACUACCGGGCUGGAGUGCCGGAGAGGUAGGCGGAAUUCCUAGUGUAGCGGUGAAAUGCGUAGAUAUUAGGAGGAACACCAGUGGCGAAGGCGGCCUACUGGACGGUGACUGACGCUGAGGCUCGAAAGCGUGGGGAGCAAACAGGAUUAGAUACCCUAGUA
Molecule: ribosomal RNA, 445 nt
Filed under: uncultured bacterium
Lineage: Bacteria
Description: bacterial SSU rRNA
Rfam family: Bacterial small subunit ribosomal RNA
Source: RNAcentral